Molecule: long non-coding RNA, 631 nt
Organism: Platichthys flesus (European flounder)
Lineage: Eukaryota; Metazoa; Chordata; Actinopteri; Pleuronectiformes; Pleuronectidae
Exons: 3
Source: RefSeq, a predicted model, not a curated record
CACACACACGCAGCAUCACUUUGAGUGUGUGUGUUGAUAUGUGGGCUCAGGAUUUUAAUGUCUAACAAGGUUACGCAACUUCACAAACAUUGAAAAAGGCUCCUCUGUUAAUUAUCUAGACUAGAAUGGAAGAAACACACACACAUGAUCAUUUCUUAACACUUCUGACUGAAGGGGGGAUGAGGAGGAGGCUGCGGCUCAUUACAGAUCCACUGAACACACAAUCUCAUGUUGUGUAAGCUGUGUGUUCCUCCUCCUCGCACGGAGCGGCGAGCAUCUGUGUUGAUGUCACACACGCAUGUUCCCCGUACAUGUGACGAGGGCCAGAACAAGCUCAACCAGAGGAAGAGGACACGUGAGAUGAAGAUGAACCGACAGAGUUCAGCUCGACCCUCUGGAGCCGAGCGGGAGGGUUUUGACCAGUUCACAUGUCCCUGUACCAGGACUAGUGGACCUGAUGGGGACUGGACGGGUCUGGAAGAGGCACCGCUGAUGCAGUGACUCCGCUGGACACGCCCCCCGAGCGUCGCACGCACAACCCGUCAUCACGCUGCCGGUGACGCGGCACGUAGAUUUCCUCACGACACCUGAAAAUACAGAAAUACAAUUGUUUUAUUUAAAUCAUCUCAUU